UCCGAGCCUGGUUCGGUGCCCGCCGCCCGCUGCGCGGGUGGCUCGCGGAGCUCUCUGCUAAAAAGCAGCGUGGGGGCGAGUCGCGCCUUCUAAGUAGCUCGGCACACAAGUGCGCGUGCCAGCCCCAUAAGCCAGGGAAAAGGCAGACACAACUAACAGACAACUGGAUCUGGUUUUCUGCACUUUUCGUUGCACCGACGGGGCGCUUGCUGUGGACACUGAUGCUGCUACCUGAACCCAAUACUAUAUAGUGACCAGCUAUCAAAUGAAGCUAUGAAACCUUCAAAACUAUUUCACCACAUGAAGACCAAGUACCUUGCAUUAAAAGAUGUGUCUUUGGAAUUUUUCAAAAGAAGAAAAUGUGAACACAGACAUCAGAAGCAAUUGUUAAAUGCCACCAUCUCAUCAAAUGUGUCUACACUGAGAGCAUCGUUCAUGCCCAAAGCAGAAAAUAAGCACUAA
RNAcentral lists this long non-coding RNA (462 nucleotides) under Chinchilla lanigera (long-tailed chinchilla). RNAcentral describes it as "lncRNA (ENSCLAG00000025504.1)". The record is from RNAcentral. Lineage: Eukaryota; Metazoa; Chordata; Mammalia; Rodentia; Chinchillidae.